Molecule: ribosomal RNA, 501 nt
Filed under: uncultured bacterium
Lineage: Bacteria
Description: partial 16S ribosomal RNA
Rfam family: Bacterial small subunit ribosomal RNA
Source: RNAcentral
AUCGAACGCUGGCGGCAGGCUUAACACAUGCAAGUCGAGCGGAGAUGAGGUGCUUGCACCUUAUCUUAGCGGCGGACGGGUGAGUAAUGCUUAGGAAUCUGCCUAUUAGUGGGGGACAACAUUCCGAAAGGAAUGCUAAUACCGCAUACGUCCUACGGGAGAAAGCAGGGGAUCUUCGGACCUUGCGCUAAUAGAUGAGCCUAAGUCGGAUUAGCUAGUUGGUGGGGUAAAGGCCUACCAAGGCGACGAUCUGUAGCGGGUCUGAGAGGAUGAUCCGCCACACUGGGAGUGAGACACGGCCCAGACUCCUACGGGAGGCAGCAGUGGGGAAGAUUGGACAAUGGGGGAAACCCUGGUCCAGCCAUGCCGCGUGUGUGAAGAAGGCCUUAUGGUUGUAAAGCACUUUAAGCGAGGAGGAGGCUACUGAGACUAAUACUCUUGGAUAGUGGACGUUACUCGCAGAAUAAGCACCGGCUAACUCUGUUCCAGCCGCCGCAGUAA